CGGCAGCACAGCAGUAGCAAUACUGUGGGUGGCGAGUGGCGGACGGGUGAGUAAUGCAUCGGGAUCUACCCAAACGUGGGGGAUAACGUAGGGAAACUUACGCUAAUACCGCAUACGUCUUACGAGAGAAAGCAGGGGACCUUCGGGCCUUGCGCGGUUGGACGAACCGAUGUGCGAUUAGCUAGUUGGUAGGGUAAUGGCCUACCAAGGCGACGAUCGCUAGCUGGUCUGAGAGGAUGAUCAGCCACACUGGAACUGAGACACGGUCCAGACUCCUACGGGAGGCAGCAGUGGGGAAUAUUGGACAAUGGGCGCAAGCCUGAUCCAGCAAUGCCGCGUGUGUGAAGAAGGCCUUCGGGUUGUAAAGCACUUUUAUCAGGAGCGAAAUACUACCGGCUAAUAUCCGGUGGGGCUGACGGUACCUGAGGAAUAAGCACCGGCUAACUUCGUGCCAGCAGCCGCGGUAAUACGAAGGGUGCAAGCGUUAAUCGGAAUUACUGGGCGUAAAGCGUGCGUAGGCGGUUAUUUAAGUCUGUUGUGAAAUCCCCGGGCUCAACCUGGGAAUGGCAAUGGAUACUGGAUAGCUAGAGUGUGAUAGAGGAUGGUGGAAUUCCCGGUGUAGCGGUGAAAUGCGUAGAGAUCGGGAGGA
Molecule: ribosomal RNA, 649 nt
Filed under: Dyella sp. LLH-Slr-14
Lineage: Bacteria; Pseudomonadati; Pseudomonadota; Gammaproteobacteria; Lysobacterales; Rhodanobacteraceae
Description: bacterial SSU rRNA
Rfam family: Bacterial small subunit ribosomal RNA
Source: RNAcentral